Molecule: ribosomal RNA, 492 nt
Filed under: uncultured bacterium
Lineage: Bacteria
Description: partial 16S ribosomal RNA
Rfam family: Bacterial small subunit ribosomal RNA
Source: RNAcentral
GACGAACGCUGGCGGCGUGCUUAACACAUGCAAGUCGAACGGAAAGGCCCCCACUUUUUUGGUGGGGGUGCUCGAGUGGCGAACGGGUGAGUAACACGUGGGUGAUCUGCCCUGUACUUCGGGAUAAGCUUGGGAAACUGGGUCUCAUACCGGAUAGGCCCAUGGUUUAGUGUCUCAUGGUGGAUAAAUUAUUGUUUUGGUGCAGGAUGAGCUCGCGGCCUAUCAGCUUGUUGGUGGGGUAAUGGCCUACCAAGGCGUCGACGGGUAGCCGGCCUGAGAGGGUGGACGGCCACAUUGGGACUGAGAUACGGCCCAGACUCCUACGGGAGGCAGCAGUGGGGAAUAUUGCACAAUGGGCGCAAGCCUGAUGCAGCGACGCCGCGUGGGGGAUGACGGCCUUCGGGUUGUAAACUCCUUUCGUUAGGGACGAAGCCGCACCUUUUUUGGGUGUGGUGACGGUCCCUUUGUUAAGAAGCACCGGCUAACUACGUG